GGCUCAAGGAGGUAAAUGUCUACCAGUUAAGCCAAGAACACAGAUUUUACACACACAUUGACAUAAAAGCUGAAAAGAUUCUGAGAUAUAAUGUUAGAUUUCUCCUUUGGAACACUUACCAGUAACUACCAUGCUGCUCAUGUUAGAGUUCGGACUAUUGAGUACACUGCCUGAAAGAAGUUCGUCAGAUCCUCUCUAAAAAGAAAAAGACACUGCUGCCACUGCAGCCUUCAGGGUCUCCUCCUACACACCCACGGAGCAUCUGAGCCAGAUAAGCAGGAGACAGAAGAGAACUCAGGAUGAGCAGCAAACAGGGAAAUUGUCUGGGAACCAUCCAAGAGGAACUAUGGAGAAAGUUGUGUUAAAGAUGAUGAAAGGAACAUGUCUGAACAUGCAGAAUCUUCAGGUUGCCAGUUUAUCAUCAGCUAGCUUCACAUCCUACCUUCACGCCAACUGCAAC
Mauremys mutica (yellowpond turtle) is the source of this 460-nucleotide long non-coding RNA. RefSeq lists it as uncharacterized. The record is from RefSeq and is a predicted model, not a curated record. Lineage: Eukaryota; Metazoa; Chordata; Testudines; Geoemydidae. The transcript has 5 exons.